Molecule: ribosomal RNA, 492 nt
Filed under: uncultured bacterium
Lineage: Bacteria
Description: partial 16S ribosomal RNA
Rfam family: Bacterial small subunit ribosomal RNA
Source: RNAcentral
AGUGAACGCUGGCGGUAGGCCUAACACAUGCAAGUCGAACGGCAGCACAGUAAGAGCUUGCUCUUACGGGUGGCGAGUGGCGGACGGGUGAGGAAUACAUCGGAAUCUACUUUUUCGUGGGGGAUAACGUAGGGAAGCUUACGCAAAUACCGCAUACGACCUACGGGUGAAAGCAGGGGAUCUUCGGACCUUGCGCGAAUGAAUGAGCCGAUGUCGGAUUAGCUAGUUGGCGGGGUAAAGGCCCACCAAGGCGACGAUCCGUAGCUGGUCUGAGAGGAUGAUCAGCCACACUGGAACUGAGACACGGUCCAGACUCCUACGGGAGGCAGCAGUGGGGAAUAUUGGACAAUGGGCGCAAGCCUGAUCCAGCCAUACCGCGUGGGUGAAGAAGGCCUUCGGGUUGUAAAGCCCUUUUGUUGGGAAAGAAAAGCAGCAGGUUAAUACCCCGCUGUUCUGACGGUACCCAAAGAAUAAGCACCGGCUAACUUCGUG